AGAAUCAACGCUGGCGGCGUGCCUCAGACAUGCAAGUCGAACGCGAAAGUUUCCUUCGGGAGACAAGUAGAGUGGCGCACGGGUGAGUAACACGUAGGUAAUCUACCUUCGGAUGGGGAAUAACAGUCGGAAACGGCUGCUAAUACCGCAUAAUGCAGCGGCACCUAAUGGUGACAGUUGUUAAAGCGGGGGAUCGAAAGACCUCGCGUCUGAAGAGGAGCCUGCGGCGGAUUAGCUAGUUGGUAAGGUAACGGCUUACCAAGGCUACGAUCCGUA
RNAcentral lists this ribosomal RNA (276 nucleotides) under uncultured bacterium. RNAcentral describes it as "partial small subunit ribosomal RNA". It matches the Rfam family "Bacterial small subunit ribosomal RNA", at positions 26 to 285 of the family's 1533-position model. The record is from RNAcentral.